Osmerus eperlanus (European smelt) is the source of this 255-nucleotide long non-coding RNA. RefSeq lists it as uncharacterized. NCBI's taxonomy places the organism in Eukaryota, Metazoa, Chordata, Actinopteri, Osmeriformes, Osmeridae. The record is from RefSeq and is a predicted model, not a curated record. The transcript has 3 exons.
CAACAUAUCCUUCAGGUUUUUAUUCCUUCUGUAUGCCGAUAUAACCCUAAAAUUCUCCAACUCACCCACAGAUUGUUGAGCCUGUUGAAAAUGAAAUUUAAGUCUGGAGGAAUCUCUUAGAGUAUCCGCGAGGACCCAAGGCUCCGAAGAGCGUUCUAGUGGCCUCUUCUACAUCUUCGAGGAAGUCUUGGAAUUCCCCAGGAGAAUGCUCCCAUAUCCCAAAGAUAUCAUCAAGAUAUCUGUAGUAUACUAAAG